AAGGAAGGAAGGAAGGAAGGAAGGAAGGAAGAAAGGAAGGAAGGAAGGAAGGAAUUGUAUCCUGAACCCACCCACAGAAACUCUGGAAUAAUAUGUUGUUUUAGUCAGGAGAUUCUCUCUGGAGUCUCCAUCUUGUUAUUUGAAGAAAGCCAACCUGAGUCCUGCAGCUACAAGAUGAAUUCUACCAACAACCUGAGGAAGGCUGAAUACAGAUCCUUGCUCUGCAGGAAGAUACCUCUGCUCAAAGCUGGGUUAUUCUUGAGUGAUGUCUUUGGUCAAGAUCACCCCAGGCCAGAACACACAGCAAGGUGACAGAAGUCAAUCCAGGCUGCCCCACUGGGGAAUGAGGUCAGUACCCACAUCUGGCUGUACAUCUUCGUCUCAGUACACCUGCUCUCUCCUCACACUGCUGUCCAGAUGUGCUCACAUGAAUUAUCUCAGUGCUAUCUUUUUUCUUUUUCUGUUUUUUU
This is a non-coding RNA of Ictidomys tridecemlineatus (thirteen-lined ground squirrel), 470 nucleotides long. The record is from RefSeq and is a predicted model, not a curated record. NCBI's taxonomy places the organism in Eukaryota, Metazoa, Chordata, Mammalia, Rodentia, Sciuridae.